GACGAACGCUGGCGGCGUGCUUAACACAUGCAAGUCGAACGGAAAGGCCCGGCUUUGGGGGGGUGCUCGAGUGGCCAACUGGGGAGUAACACUUGAGUAACCUGCCCUUGACUUUGAGAGAACCUCAUAAAACUUGGUGUAAUAGCGGAUAGGAUCUCCUGCUGUUUGGUGGGGGUGGGAAGGUUUCGGCGGUUGGUGGUGGACUCGCGGCUUAUUGGCUUGUUGGUUGGGUAGUGGAUGAGCAAGGCUUUGAACGGUAGCCGGCCUGAGAGGGUGACCGGCCACGUUGGGCCUGGGCUACGGCACAGCCUCCUACGGGAGGCAGCAGUGGGGAAUGGUGCACAAUGCGAGGAACCCUGAUGCAGUACAGCAGUGUGCGGGAUGACGGCCAUGCGGUUGUAUUGCGCUUUCGCCUUUCACGAAGCGUGAGUGACGGUAAUGGGUAAAGAAGCACCGGCUAACUCCGUG
RNAcentral lists this ribosomal RNA (468 nucleotides) under uncultured bacterium. Its description in RNAcentral is "partial 16S ribosomal RNA". It matches the Rfam family "Bacterial small subunit ribosomal RNA", at positions 28 to 507 of the family's 1533-position model. The record is from RNAcentral.